CAUCAGCCACUCCUUGACCUUCUGUUCCCGGAAGCCAAGCCGCGACGAGGGCGUCAAUGGUCGAAACAUAAGGCUGAAUCACCACAGGACGGCCAGAUACCACGACCACCACACACUUCACUGAUCCGCACACGUUUCCUAUUGUGCUUGGACCAGGAGCACUUAUGGUCAGGUUCGUGGUGUCCCCAAACAUUUCAGCAUAAGGCGGCUCGCCAACAACCACAAUGGCAUAGUCAAAUUUACCCGACUUCACAAAGUUUGCAUCGGGGUUUUGGUUGUAGACGACUUGUGUGGUCGGAGCCACUGUAUUUUUCACAGCUGCGAGGAUUGUUGUACCUGUGUGCAAUUACACCAAAGUCAAGAUUAUAUAUCUAAAUUUUGUAACGCGAUGUUCUGUAUUAGCUCGCACACGAUGGAUGGCCAAACCUAGCUACUGCUGUGGUUGCAACCGAGACAAAAGAGGUUAAAGAGAACUUUAUGAGUAAACAUACCAACGGUGUGGUCGUUGCCGUUAAGGCCUUGCCAGGUGAUGGUCCAGCCACCACAUUGAUAUCCCAAGUUAUCGGCGUGUGUUCCUGCGACAAGGAUCUUCCCUGUUUUCUUGGGCAGAGGAAGCAGAGGUUUAGCACCUGUUUUACCAUUCUUGAGCAGAACUAGAGACUUCCUCACGGCUUCACGAGCAAGUUCCCUGUGUUCCUGUUAAAGUAUAUUAUUUAGUUUCAUCUUGAUGAUUUUGUAAUGAUGUAAUGGCUAAACAAAGGAUAAACAUAGCAUACCUUACUACCAAGCUGAUUGGCAAAGCUGAGGUCAGCCAGUGGUUCCUCAAAUAGUCCCAUUGUGAAUUUGACCCUUAAGAUUCUCUUCACGGCGUCAUCAAUCCUGCUUAACGGAAUAAGCUUUUUCUGUAUCUGACUGUUGAUUUCGUCUAUGAACUCGGUGUAGUUGUACGGAACCAUAAUCUGCAAAUAAAGAGACGCACAACAAUCAAGCAACCACAUGGAGGACAUACAAAAGAUAUGUAAGAUAGAAUCAGUUUUGAGACAAACCAUGUCAAUUCCAGCGCUGAUUCCUGCGUAAACAGAGUAUGAAUAGUUAAGAUGUGGAGGAGUUGUGAUCCUAUCAAUCCCCUGCCAAUCAGAGAUGACAAAACCCUGCAGCGAAACAGAAAGAAGGGACUUAGGACCAAAGCACAGAAGCUCAAAUGCAUCCACAUUGUACCAUUUCUUACCCUGAACUUCAGCUUGUUCUUGAGGAAGCCCGUGACAAGUUCCUUGUUAGCAUGCAUUCUCAAACCGUUCCAGGCAGAGUAAGACACCAUGAUAGUUGCAACACCCUUGUUUACAGCAUUGUAAUAUCCAGGCAUGUGAAUUCCAAACAGCCCCUUCGAGUCAAUCACCGUGUUGUUCUCAUCAAUCCCUCUCACUGUACCUCCAUCUCCAACAAAAUGCUUAGCACAAGCUGCAACUUUUGUCCUGUAACAGUCACAAGCUCAUUUCGGUAAGUAAAUGGAAUUUGUGUACGUAUCAUAUACUAAUGAAUUAAUUAACCUGUGAUUGAAAUGAAUUUAGUCAAAACAAUAGACUAAUAGUUUCAAUGAGACAUAAGCUCAUUUAAUCUCCCCCACAUGUAAAAGAUAUUAAUAUUUGGACAGGGACUGUUUAGAUGAAGGAGAUAAAUUCACACUGGUCCUACAGUGGCAGAAAAUUCAAACCACGACUCUUUAAGAACCUGUCCGAACCUACUAUAGAUAGAUAAACUUAAAACGUAUCACAUGGGUUGGCCAAUCACUGAUUGCCAGGCAGACUUUGCACUAGUGAAAAUUGACCACCACAUUUUAAAUGAAAGCAUGCGUGAGCAUGACUUGAGGAUUUUCCUCACUUUGAUCAUCAAGCCUCACUCAACAUACAAAAAGUUUUUAACUUGUCAUAGUGAUCAUCUUAAAACAUAUAACAGAAGAUUAAUUACAGGCAAAAUUACUUACUUUCCACCAACAAAGGGAACACCCUUUCGCUUGGUAGGAAGGUCACCUUGCAAACCGGGUAUAAUUUCAGUCAUCUGCUUGACAAUUCUAUAAUCUUCACUGUAGCUCUCGUAGCAUCUUCCCCAUCUUGGAUCCCUACAAACCUGUCAAAGCAUAUCCACAUUGCAGGAAUAUUAAACAUACACGUUUCUUGAUCAGUUUUCUGCAACGACUUCAAAAUUGUUAGCUUCAUUAUACUUACUGCAAUACACGGAGCAAAGGCAUAUGGGAUUCCGGUUGCUCUGACUUCAAGCGCGGUUGCUGCCCCAAUCCUCUUAAGAAGGUUAGGAUCCCUAAGAGAUUAGUCAAAAACACAAAAAUAAAGUUGUUCAGUUUCAUAGCCAUAUAAAACAGACCAAUUCCAACAAGAACAAAGUCCUUUCAACUUUGUGACAAGCAGAGAGCUUAGGCCUUUUAGGACAAGUACUUGCCUGGUGACUCCAAGGCCUACAUUGUGCGGGAAAAUGGUGGCACCAUACACAUUGUUGUGACCGUGAACAGCAUCAAUCCCGUAGAUCAUAGGGAUCCCAAGGCGGGUGGAAAGAGAAGCCUUUUGAAUCUCAUUGACCAUGUUCACCCAAGUUUCAGGAGUAGCUUUUUCCGAGGGCACACUUCCUCCACCACUCAACACACUCCCUACACAAAAACCCAACAAAGUCCACUCAUUUAAACAAUAUAUCGAACACUUAACACACAUAAUUCCUCCAAGCUCAUUUUCUUCUUACCAAUGAAGUAUUUCUUCAUGACUUCAGGUGUAGCGACGCUGCGUUCGAUCUGAACCAUCUGACCAAUCUUCUCUUGUAGAGUCAUACGGUUCAUCAAAUCUCUGAUUCUUGCACCCAAAGGCUGCUUUGGGUCCUUGUACUUCAAAGUACCCUCAGCAGCAGCCACGGCACAACACAGCAGCACAAGACAUAGCACCUUACUCAGAGUCCCCAUUUUUCUUCUUCCACAGUUCCACCACAACUGCAGAUAAUCAGAUCUAAGCUAUUAUUAGUCAGAGGAACUGUUCCAUUGUAGAUCAAAUAAUAUAGUG
This 3056-nucleotide long non-coding RNA is filed under the name Arabidopsis lyrata. Its description in RNAcentral is "long non-coding RNA (ALYR_LNC001261)". Lineage: Eukaryota; Viridiplantae; Streptophyta; Magnoliopsida; Brassicales; Brassicaceae. The record is from RNAcentral.